UUUUUUUCUUAAAUUCUAUGAGAAUUUGUGUAUCAUUGAUGUAGUAAAAUCAUAGUUAGUUAAUUCGGAUUCGGCAAAAAUUUGGUACUGGUAUAAUUCGAAUAAACUUCGUUUUCUAAUUUUUAAAUUCGUUGAAAAAUACGGCUAAAAAACGGAUUCGGUAAAUAUUCGGAUACGUGAUUGUCACGNAUAUUUGAAUUUGUAUUUUAAAAAUUUAGGUUUAAUAUAAUAUAUUUUGAAAUAUUGAAAAAAGAAAUAAUUGUUUCGGAUUCAAAUUUUCGCGUUCGGGUUCGGUUUCGGGUUUCGGAUUUUUGGUCGGGUUCGGGUUUGGAUAUGGAUUUUUAAAAUCCGUCGGGUUCGGGUUCGGGUUCGAGUCUCGGGUUUGGAGUCGGGUUCGGGUUCGGGUUUUUAA
RNAcentral lists this long non-coding RNA (412 nucleotides) under Ananas comosus (pineapple). RNAcentral's name for it is "long non-coding RNA (ACOM_LNC024644)". The record is from RNAcentral. Lineage: Eukaryota; Viridiplantae; Streptophyta; Magnoliopsida; Poales; Bromeliaceae.